CGCCUUGCCAGCCCGCUCAGAAACUCAAAGGAAGUUGACGGGGGCCCGCACAAGCGGUGGAGUAUGUGGUUUAAUUCGAUGCAACGCGAAGAACCUUACCUGGUCUUGACAUCCCGGAGACCCUUAGGAAACUAGGGGGUGCUUCCAUCUGGAAGAAUCUGGAGACAGGUGCUGCAUGGCUGUCGUCAGCUCGUGUCGUGAGAUGUUGGGUUAAGUCCCGCAACGAGCGCAACCCUUGCCUUUAGUUGCCAGCAGUUCGGCUGGGCACUCUAAAGGGACUGCCGGUGUUAAACCGGAGGAAGGUGGGGAUGACGUCAAGUCCUCAUGGCCUUUAUGACCAGGGCUACACACGUACUACAAUGGCCGAUACAAAGGGCAGCGACACUGCGAGGUGAAGCCAAUCCCGUAAAAUCGGUCUCAGUCCGGAUUGGAGUCUGCAACUCGACUCCAUGAAGUUGGAAUCGCUAGUAAUCCGUGGAUCAAGACAUGCCACGGUGAAUACGUUCCCGGGCCUU
This 515-nucleotide ribosomal RNA is filed under the name uncultured Desulfobulbus sp. RNAcentral describes it as "bacterial SSU rRNA". It matches the Rfam family "Bacterial small subunit ribosomal RNA", at positions 903 to 1382 of the family's 1533-position model. The record is from RNAcentral. Lineage: Bacteria; Pseudomonadati; Thermodesulfobacteriota; Desulfobulbia; Desulfobulbales; Desulfobulbaceae.